UCGAGAAUUUUUCUCAAUGGGGGAAACCCUGAAGGAGCGACGCCGCGUGGAGGAUGAAGGUCUUCGGAUUGUAAACUCCUGUCAUUUGGGAACAAUGUGCAUGGGUUAACUGCUCAUGCAUUGAUAGUACCAGAAGAGGAAGAGACGGCUAACUCUGUGCCAGCAGCCGCGGUAAUACAGAGGUCUCAAGCGUUGUUCGGAUUCAUUGGGCGUAAAGGGUGCGUAGGUGGCGGGGCAAGUCAGGUGUGAAAUCUCGGGGCUCAACCCCGAAACUGCACUUGAUACUGCCUUGCUCGAGUACUGGAGAGGAGACUGGAAUUUACGGUGUAGCAGUGAAAUGCGUAGAUAUCGUAAGGAAGACCAGUGGCGAAGGCGAGUCUCUGGACAGUCACUGACACUGAGGCACGAAGGCCAGGGGAGCAAACGG
Molecule: ribosomal RNA, 427 nt
Filed under: uncultured bacterium
Lineage: Bacteria
Description: bacterial SSU rRNA
Rfam family: Bacterial small subunit ribosomal RNA
Source: RNAcentral